UACGUAGGGUGCAAGCGUUGUCCGGGAUUAUUGGGCGUAAAGAGCUCGUAGGUGGUCUAUCACGUCGGAUGUGAAACCCUGAGGCUCAACCUCAGGCCUGCAUUCGAUACGGGCAGACUAGAGUGUGGUAGGGGAGACUGGAAUUCCUGGUGUAGCGGUGAAAUGCGCAGAUAUCAGGAGGAACACCGGUGGCGAAGGCGGGUCUCUGGGCCUGUACUGACGCUGAGGAGCGAAAGCGUGGGGAGCAAACAGG
RNAcentral lists this ribosomal RNA (253 nucleotides) under uncultured bacterium. Its description in RNAcentral is "partial 16S ribosomal RNA". It matches the Rfam family "Bacterial small subunit ribosomal RNA", at positions 524 to 776 of the family's 1533-position model. The record is from RNAcentral.